RNAcentral lists this ribosomal RNA (205 nucleotides) under uncultured bacterium. Its description in RNAcentral is "partial 16S ribosomal RNA". It matches the Rfam family "Bacterial small subunit ribosomal RNA", at positions 524 to 717 of the family's 1533-position model. The record is from RNAcentral.
UACGUAGGGUGCAAGCGUUAAUCGGAAUUACUGGGCGUAAAGCGUGCGCAGGCGGUUUUGUAAGUCUGUCGUGAAAGCCCCGGGCGUCAACCUGGGAAGUUGCGAUGGAGACUGCAAGGACGUUGUAAUACUGGCGAGAGGGGGGUAGGAAUUACCACCGUGUAGCAGUGAAAUAGCGUAGAGAUGUGGAGGAACACCGAUGGCG